RNAcentral lists this ribosomal RNA (251 nucleotides) under uncultured prokaryote. RNAcentral describes it as "partial 16S rRNA". It matches the Rfam family "Bacterial small subunit ribosomal RNA", at positions 525 to 775 of the family's 1533-position model. The record is from RNAcentral.
ACGUAGGAGGCAAGCGUUAUUCGGAUUUACUGGGCGUAAAGCGCGUGCAGGCGGUUUGGUAAGUUUGAUGUGAAAGCCCCCGGCCCAACUGGGAGAUGGCGUUCAAUACUACCAGACUAGAGGAUGGGAGAGGGAGGUGGAAUUCCGGGUGUAGUGGUGAAAUGCGUAGAUAUCCGGAGGAACACCAGUGGCGAAGGCGGCCUCCUGGCCCAUUUCUGACGCUCAGACGCGAAAGUGAGGGUAGCAAACAG